GCUCGCUCAGUCGGUAGAGUACGAGACUCUCAAUCUCAGGGUUGUGAGUUCAAGCCCCACAUUGAGUG
RNAcentral lists this transfer RNA (68 nucleotides) under Ailuropoda melanoleuca (giant panda). It matches the Rfam family "tRNA". Rfam says of the family: Transfer RNA (tRNA) molecules are approximately 80 nucleotides in length. The record is from Rfam by way of RNAcentral. Lineage: Eukaryota; Metazoa; Chordata; Mammalia; Carnivora; Ursidae.